This 239-nucleotide ribosomal RNA is filed under the name Imetescolex patriarchalis. RNAcentral describes it as "Helodrilus patriarchalis partial 12S ribosomal RNA". It matches the Rfam family "Bacterial small subunit ribosomal RNA", at positions 1258 to 1520 of the family's 1533-position model. The record is from RNAcentral. Lineage: Eukaryota; Metazoa; Annelida; Clitellata; Crassiclitellata; Lumbricidae.
CUAUGAUGAUACUCAUUUACGUCAGGUCAAAGUGCAGCUUAUAGAGAGGUGAUGAUGGGUUACACCCUAAACAAAGACACGAAAUAUAACACUAAAAGUUAUAUGAAGGUGGACUUGGACGUAUCGUUAAUUCAAAAUUACCGCGAAAACGAAUCUAAGACAUGCACACAUCGCCCGUCACUCUCGCCCAAAGGCGAGAUAAGUCGUAACAAAGUAGGUGUAACGGAAGUUGUACCUGU